UACGGGGGGGGCAAGCGUUGUUCGGAAUUACUGGGCGUAAAGGGCUCGUAGGCGGCCAACUAAGUCAGACGUGAAAUCCCCAGGCUCAACCUGGGAACUGCGUCUGAUACUGGAUGGCUUGAAUCCGGGAGAGGGAUGCAGAAUUCCAGGUGUAGCGGUGAAAUGCGUAGAUAUCUGGAGGAAUACCGGUGGCGAAGGCGGCAUCCUGGACCGGCAUUGACGCUGAGGAGCGAAAGCUAGGGGAGCGAACAGG
This 253-nucleotide ribosomal RNA is filed under the name uncultured bacterium. RNAcentral's name for it is "partial 16S ribosomal RNA". It matches the Rfam family "Bacterial small subunit ribosomal RNA", at positions 524 to 776 of the family's 1533-position model. The record is from RNAcentral.